GUAUCCCACAUACACCGGACUAUUCACCCCCUGACCUCUUGGAAUAGCCUAGAAUAGAUCAGGUACGGGACAUGUUUUGGGAUAUUGGACGUUUUGAUUGCAAGGUGUAGCAGGGAAGAUUGGGAUAUACAUAUAUAGGUAGGUACUAGGUUGGUAGGUGUAUUCGGAAGGAAUAUAGCAUUACCCAAUCCCACUGCAUAAACAAAGCAUACUAUAUCUACAUUAAGUUCAAGAUAAGGUCGGGAAAAUUUCUAUCAAUUCAAUUUCAAGUUAUGAUUUUGCUAAUUAUCCUGCUAAUUUAUGAUGAGCCCAAGAUAUCGGUAGGAGAGAACACAAAGAUAAAGCACAAUAGUAACGGAACCAGAGAACAUCAGUAAUAAAGGGAACGGGAAUAUUUGAUUCCUUCAAAUUUUUAAGUUCUCGUUAUCAUCUCAAGAAAUUAGAAAAUUCGAGUAUUCAAAGCAUUUGAACUAAAUUUCUGAGUCAAGAAAUUAGAAAAUUCUAGGAUUCAAAGCACUUGAACUAAAUUUCUGAGAAGGACCUGUCAUUUGUAAGCUGAUUCCCCAUUAUUGCUUUUACUUUGCUUGUGAGUUGUUAUGCAUUCCACUAUCUUUUCUUCAUAAAUUAAAUUUAAAAACAUCAGAAACUAAGAAUAUCUACAGCCAACGCUCCAAGCUUAUAUCUAAACUGCCCCAAAACAAAAACACUGAUCUUUUACUCAUCCGAGCACUCGAGAAAUGGUUACAUUUGAAGUUCCUGCUAGUAAUCACAUGAGCAUGAUAUUUUAAUUUGGUGGUGGUGACAAUGAAUCUAUGA
This 816-nucleotide unclassified non-coding RNA is filed under the name Hevea brasiliensis (rubber tree). Lineage: Eukaryota; Viridiplantae; Streptophyta; Magnoliopsida; Malpighiales; Euphorbiaceae. The record is from RNAcentral.